Calidris pugnax (ruff) is the source of this 504-nucleotide long non-coding RNA. RefSeq lists it as uncharacterized. The record is from RefSeq and is a predicted model, not a curated record. Lineage: Eukaryota; Metazoa; Chordata; Aves; Charadriiformes; Scolopacidae. The transcript has 2 exons.
GGGAAAUUUGUAAUGUCAGCCUAGUUUUGUUGAGUUUAAAUUGCAAAGGUUUUCCAAAACUGGAAGGGAAUUCCUCAGAAGAAAUAUAGGCGUCAGUUGCAGGUGGUGUUCAUGGAGGCAAAUUUUAUAAGUGAGGUUUUUAGAUUGAAAUACGUAUUUAUAGGCAAAGUGGGUUACAGGAUAGUGAUAGAAACAAGGUACCAGAGGCCAUAGGAUGUAACAGCUUCAGAGAAGACCCACUUCUACCUGACUUCUGCCAUCAAUUCACUCUUCUCAGAAGCUUCUGUAGCAGCCUUUUUACCUCAGGGUUGUGCUGUGUCGCGUUCGUGUUUUAAAACCCUAUCCAUUAUGGGGUGGCACAAACAUCAGGUAAGCUGCUUUCUGGUUGUGCGUAUGUAUUAAAGCCGCAGCGUAAAAGACAUGUAAUCGGUACUUUUUAAUGCCAUCUGAUGGAAUUUACUGCUUUUCCUUUCUUUCACAAUCAAUAAAAAUAUUUUGUGGAAA